AUUGAACGCUGGCGGCAGGCCUAACACAUGCAAGUCGGACGGUAGCACAGAGGAGCUUGCUCCUCGGGUGACGAGUGGCGGACGGGUGAGUAAUGUCUGGGGAUCUGCCCGAUAGAGGGGGAUAACCACUGGAAACGGUGGCUAAUACCGCAUAACGUCGUAAGACCAAAGAGGGGGACCUUCGGGCCUCUCACUAUCGGAUGAACCCGGAUGGGACUAGCUAGUAGGCGGGGUAACGGCCCACCUAGGCGACGAUCCCUAGCUGGGCUGAGAGGAUGACCAGCAACACGGGAACUGAGGCACGGUCCAGACUCCUACGGGAGGCAGCAGUGGGGAAUAUUGCACAAUGGGCGCAAGCCUGAUGCGGCCAUGCCGCGUGUAUGAAGAAGGCCUUCGGGUUGUAAAGUACUUUCAGCGGGGAGGAAGGCGAUGUGGUUAAUAACCGCGUCGAUUGACGUUACCCGCAGAAGAAGCACCGGCUAACUCCGUGCCAGCCGCCGCGGUAA
RNAcentral lists this ribosomal RNA (506 nucleotides) under uncultured bacterium. Its description in RNAcentral is "partial 16S ribosomal RNA". It matches the Rfam family "Bacterial small subunit ribosomal RNA", at positions 29 to 523 of the family's 1533-position model. The record is from RNAcentral.